GUCACAUACUCAUAAUUUCUACUACAAUGUACUAGCGCUACUAGUAGUACUAAGAUUGGAUAGCUAGAGUCUAGUCAUCUACAUGAAGUUAUACAGCCUGUUAUGUGUCGCUCUUCUCCUGGGGAUCGUCCAAGGAGAGGGAUGAUGUUCGGCUAUAUAUUUGAGACAAGUAUCACGUUCACGAACGGUUACCACAAGACUCUCAAACUUGUCAAACUAACGAUAGCUCUGCAUGCAUGAGCUACCUUCUCUUCCUAUUGCAUGCACGGGAGUUAUUUUGGUUUUGUUUUCCUACUCAGUCUCUCACUAUGUUACACUCAUUUGUUGAUGUGCAUCACAGGUAUAGUGCAUCAUUGAACAAUGGAAAUUAUAAUUAUAGUUAUUAUG
Long non-coding RNA from Halichondria panicea, 387 nucleotides. RefSeq lists it as uncharacterized. The record is from RefSeq and is a predicted model, not a curated record. NCBI's taxonomy places the organism in Eukaryota, Metazoa, Porifera, Demospongiae, Suberitida, Halichondriidae. The transcript is spliced from 2 exons.